RNAcentral lists this transfer RNA (70 nucleotides) under Eupodotis senegalensis. RNAcentral describes it as "tRNA-Ala". Lineage: Eukaryota; Metazoa; Chordata; Aves; Otidiformes; Otididae. The record is from RNAcentral.
UAAAGUCCGUAGGACAUUAUCCUACAUCCUCUGAAUGCAACCCAGAUACUUUAAUUAAGCUAGGACCUUC